AGUGAACGCUGGCGGUAGGCCUAACACAUGCAAGUCGAACGGCAGCACAGGAGAGCUUGCUCUCUGGGUGGCGAGUGGCGGACGGGUGAGGAAUACAUCGGAAUCUACUUUUUCGUGGGGGAUAACGUAGGGAAACUUACGCUAAUACCGCAUACGACCUACGGGUGAAAGCAGGGGAUCUUCGGACCUUGCGCGAUUGAAUGAGCCGAUGUCGGAUUAGCUAGUUGGCGGGGUAAAGGCCCACCAAGGCGACGAUCCGUAGCUGGUCUGGGAGGGUGAGCAGCCACACUGGAACUGAGACACGGUCCAGACUCCUACGGGAGGCAGCAGUGGGGAAUAUUGGACAAUGGGCGCAAGCCUGAUCCAGCCAUACCGCGUGGGUGAAGAAGGCCUUCGGGUUGUAAAGCCCUUUUGUUGGGAAAGAAAUCCAGCUGGUUAAUACCCGGUUGGGAUGACGGUACCCAAAGAAUAAGCACCGGCUAACUUCGUGCCAGCCGCCGCAGUAA
This 506-nucleotide ribosomal RNA is filed under the name uncultured bacterium. RNAcentral's name for it is "partial 16S ribosomal RNA". It matches the Rfam family "Bacterial small subunit ribosomal RNA", at positions 29 to 523 of the family's 1533-position model. The record is from RNAcentral.